Molecule: long non-coding RNA, 1192 nt
Organism: Meriones unguiculatus (Mongolian gerbil)
Lineage: Eukaryota; Metazoa; Chordata; Mammalia; Rodentia; Muridae
Exons: 3
Source: RefSeq, a predicted model, not a curated record
AAGUCAUGGUUUAGCUGAACUAAUGGUCGAGUGAAUCCUUCCAACAGUGGUGUGCCUUUCAACCAACAGAAGGAGCAUGGCUCUUCCAUUGAAUGAUGGGUCCCUGGAUAUGUCUAGCCUUGUUUCAACUUGACAAAACCAAGCCAGGCCAGCAUCAAAUGGGAGAUAAAGGUCUGGGACAGCGGCCAGUCAUCUCCCGAAUCUGUGCCCUGUGCUUUGUUCCAGGAUCACCAGCAAGAAGCAAGUGCACCUUGACAGAAAGGAUGGCCACACAUAAUUAAACAGAGAGAAGGAAGAGGAGGAGGACAAUGACAAUGACAAUGAUGAAGAAGGCGAUGAGGAUGAGGACUCCAGACGACAGAACUGGGCAUGUCAUGAGGUUCUACCUUAUUUUGUUGUUGUUGUUUGUUUGUUUUGUUUUACUUUGUUAUGUGCACCUUUGAUAGGUGUCCCAUUGGACACAUUUUCCUGCUGUGCUGAUGCGACAGCGUCCCCUCGCAUGCAUCUAUGAGGGCUAGAUGGCCUCCUGACAGCCCUGGGACUCAGGAAACAUGAUGAAUGUAAAAUGCCAAGCACAGCCUCUGUGACCUGGAACUUAUAAGCAUGAGAAAACUCAGGAUGGAUUGCCGCCGUUCCACAGUGCCUCUGGGACAGCAAGAUGCUUAAGAACAGGUUCUGACAUCAUUUCAUCCCAUUUUUCUCUAUGGAGAAAGCUCCCAGUUCAUACUUGCCCCGUACCUUGAGGCGGUGAGGCAAGUUACAAGCAACCCCAAUUAUAAUGACAAUAAACACUUAAGCAGGUCGAGACCAAGGCACUGGAGUUGAACCUGCGGGAUGAGAAUUUCACACCAUUGCUGAUUCAUUCCAUGCAUCACCCCAACAGGAGAAACUCUUUGUUGGCUCUACCACCGAGGCCUCCUGAAGUUAGAGAGCUGGCUUUUUGAAGAUGAUCUUAAAGAAUGUGUCCAUUUCGUCUCUCGAAGUUACAGCGGUUUCCUUGGGAAAUGAUUCAACCUCGAUCCUUUUUCUUGAUCAUGUUGUGCCCUAAAACUUUUGGUGGAGAAUUCAUUCUAUAGGGGCAGAACUGUGUCUGCCUCAGUCAGACUCAAAUCGUGUGUAUAGACAAUGCCUUGGGUGCUCUGGAUAGAACAGAUUUUUCAUAUUAUAAUGUGUUCACACCAUGCUUAAACAA